Molecule: ribosomal RNA, 1215 nt
Filed under: metagenome
Description: bacterial LSU rRNA
Rfam family: Bacterial large subunit ribosomal RNA
Source: RNAcentral
GCAGUCUAUGUCAUACUUCCAAGAAAAGCUCGCAAUGUCAUAAACAAAUAAUGCCUGUACCAUAACCGACACAGGUGGGUAGGUAGAGUAUACUAAGGGGCGCGAGAUAACUCUCUCUAAGGAACUCGGCAAAAUGACUCCGUAACUUCGGGAGAAGGAGUGCCUUAUUUAUAAGGUUGCAAUAACAAGAUCCAAGCAACUGUUUAUCAAAAACACAGGUCUCCGCUAAGUCGUAAGACGAUGUAUGGGGGCUGACGCCUGCCCAGUGCCAGAAGGUUAAAGAAGUUGGUUAGCAUUCGCGAAGCUGAUAACUGAAGCCCUGGUGAACGGCGGCCGUAACUAUAACGGUCCUAAGGUAGCGAAAUUCCUUGUCGGGUAAGUUCCGACCCGCACGAAAGGCGUAAUGAUUUGGAUACUGUCUCGGAGAGGGGCUCGGUGAAAUAGACUUGUCUGUGAAGAUGCGGACUACCUGCACCUGGACAGAAAGACCCUAUGAAGCUUUACUGUAACUUGAAAUUGAAAUUGGACUUUAUUUGCGCAGCAUAGGUGGGAGGCGUUGAGAGUAUUCUUGCGGGAAUAUUGGAGCCAUCAGUGAGAUACCACUCUUGUAAUGUUAGAUUUCUAACUUUGGAUCAUUAUCUGGUCAAAGAACAGUUUCAGGCGGGCAGUUUGACUGGGGCGGUCGCCUCCCAAAUGGUAACGGAGGCGUACAAAGGUUUCCUCUGAACGGGUAGAAAUCGUAUCUAGAGUGUAAAGGCAUAAGGAAGCUUGACUGUGAGACCUACAAGUCGAGCAGGGACGAAAGUCGGUCUUAGUGAUCUGACGGUGCUGAGUGGAAAGGCCGUCACUCAACGGAUAAAAGUUACUCUAGGAUAACAGGCUGAUCUCCCCCAAGAGUUCACAUCGACGGGGAGGUUUGGCACCUCGAUGUCGGCUCAUCGCAUCCUGGGGCGGUAGUACGUCCCAAGGGUUGGGCUGUUCGCCCAUGAAAGCGGUACGCGAGCUGGGUUCAGAACGUCGUGAGACAGUUCGGUCCAUAUCCGGUGUAGGCGUUAGAAUAUUGAGAGGAGCCUUUUUUAGUACGAGAGGACCGAGAAGGACAUACCUCUGGUGUACCAGUUAUCGUGCCAACGGUAAACGCUGGGUAGCUAUGUAUGGAGAGGAUAACCGCUGAAAGCAUCUAAGUGGGAAGCCCACCUCAAGAUAAGUAUUCUC